AGUGAACGCUGGCGGUAGGCCUAACACAUGCAAGUCGAACGGCAGCACAGUAAGAGCUGGCUCUUACGGGUGGCGAGUGGCGGACGGGUGGGGAAUACAUCGGAAUCUACUUUUUCGUGGGGGAUAACGUAGGGAAACUUACGCGAAUACCGCAUACGACCUACGGGUGAAAGCAGGGGAUCUUCGUACCUUGCGCGAUUGAAUGAGCCGAUGUCGGAUUAGCUAGUUGGCGGGGUAAAGGCCCACCAAGGCGACGAUCCGUAGCUGGUCUGAGAGGAUGAUCAGCCACACUGGAACUGAGACACGGUCCAGACUCCUACGGGAGGCAGCAGUGGGGAAUAUUGGACAAUGGGCGCAAGCAUGAUCCAGCCAUACCGCGUGGGUGAAGAAGGCCUUCGGGUUGUAAAGCCCUUUUGUUGGGAAAGAAAAGCAGCAGGUUAAUACCCCGCUGUUCUGACGGUACCCAAAGAAUAAGCACCGGCUAACUUCGUG
This 492-nucleotide ribosomal RNA is filed under the name uncultured bacterium. Its description in RNAcentral is "partial 16S ribosomal RNA". It matches the Rfam family "Bacterial small subunit ribosomal RNA", at positions 29 to 507 of the family's 1533-position model. The record is from RNAcentral.